This 427-nucleotide ribosomal RNA is filed under the name uncultured bacterium. RNAcentral's name for it is "partial 16S ribosomal RNA". It matches the Rfam family "Bacterial small subunit ribosomal RNA", at positions 355 to 774 of the family's 1533-position model. The record is from RNAcentral.
UGGGGAAUAUUGCACAAUGGGCGCAAGCCUGAUGCAGCCAUGCCGCGUGUAUGAAGAAGGCCUUCGGGUUGUAAAGUACUUUCAGCGGGGAGGAAGGCGAUAAGGUUAAUAACCUUGUCGAUUGACGUUACCCGCCGAAGAAGCACCGGCUAACUCCGUGCCAGCAGCCGCGGUAAUACGGAGGGAGCAAGCGUUAAUCGGAAUUACUGGGCGUAAAGCGCACGCAGGCGGUCUGUCAAGUCGGAUGUGAAAUCCCCGGGCUCAACCUGGGAACUGCAUUCGAAACUGGCAGGCUAGAGUCUUGUAGAGGGGGGUAGAAUUCCAGGUGUAGCGGUGAAAUGCGUAGAGAUCUGGAGGAAUACCGGUGGCGAAGGCGGCCCCCUGGACAAAGACUGACGCUCAGGUGCGAAAGCGUGGGGAGCAAACA